CGCUCUCUUGCUCGUAGCAUUUCAACCUACACGCAAGUUUUGCGCGCACAAACGCUUGCAGAGAACUCUAAAAAAAACGCAAAAAAGGGGGUCGAAGACGUCGAAAGGGCAACUGUGUACAACGCAGGUAUCACACAUACCCCCCCCUGCAGUUACCAGCUCCCUUUGAGCCAAGCGUGUCGUAGAUACUGUAUCUGGGCGCGCAAGCCGAAUUAAGGGCAGGGGACCACGCACACACAAAACCUCUGCACCGCACGGGGGAGAACUUGAAGCCGCUAAGGGGUGUCUCACGCAAAGGCGCACACACGCAAACGCAUCUCCCUGCCGAUUAGCCUUCUUUCCCUGCACUGCCCUUCCCUUGUCCCGCGUCUCUCUUUUCCCUUCACCUACUCCCUUUCGACUUCGCUUCACAGUGUUGUGCUAACUCUAACUCUCGUGGGGAUUUCCAUCGCUUCCGCUCUCUUCAUCUUCUCCGAAGCAAGAGAGUUAACACGCGUAGAGCGUGGUGUGUGCUCACACGUGCAUCACUGACGCAAUUUGGUAGUCGGUGCUUUUCGAUUACUACUGCCGAGAGAAGCGAAUGUACUGCUGAUAGGGGAAACUCACGUACCCCAUCUAGGUGGAUUCACCACACAUCUCGUAUUCUACGCCCCGUUAGCUCUUCUUCGCUGUGCAUACACUGGCGCGCCGUGCCUCGCGCAAGCCCUUGCAUUCACUGUGUCUGCGUGGAGCGCUUGUGCGCAAGACGGCCGCCUCUGGAACCUUGGGUAUUACUCUCUGCCAGCGCAAAUCCUUGGUGCCUCUCCACUGUUGUGCUUGCGUGUUCUUGUCGCUCGGCUGUGCUCCCACGCAGUGGUGCUCACGCUCCCCCUCUUCUUCUCUUUUUUUUUCGGUUGUUUCUGUUUUGCUUUUACCAUCUCCUCCUCUCUCUUCAUCACCUUCUUUCUCAUUCUGCAUGUCGUCUGCACCCCCUCCCUCCGCAUUCAAACGUUGACGUGUCUGCGGCCGCAUCUGUCCGUGUGCCUGGAGUGUCGUGCGUUUUGCUUGUUUUUCUCCCCUUCCGCCUGCAGCCUCCCUCCCCCCACCACUUCUUUUUCGCCCGUGCGUGUCUGCGUGCUCCUUGCUUUUAGCCUCCCGUUUUCUCAUACGGUGCUCGCGCAUACGUACGGAAGUCCACAUACAUCUAUACAUCUAUGUCUAUAUAGAGCUAUAUUAUUCUUUUUGGAUCUGUCUUUUGCGUGAGGCGUUCUCUGCGCCGAUUGGCCCAUCCCGAUCCCCUCUGCUGUUCUACAGUGGGCUUUUGCGCCAACUCACCCCGUCCCUUUCUCUGUGUACUUUCAGGUCGUCUAGUGCUAUUCCUUCUUGUUUUUUUUUUCUGUGUGGUGUUCUUUGGUCCCUUCUUUCCUGCAUAUGAUAUCUGUGGCAAGCAACCUGUAUCGAGCAAGUGGGCUGUGCGGUUCCGUUGCGAUGGAGACUAGUCUUCCAGAGGCGAGCAGACUGGGAACGCCCAAAGAGCUCACUGCCUCCGUUCUCAUCGAGCGUGGCAAAACCAGGGAGCACAGGAUCAACACAGUGAUGGAAAGGGGCGGCGCGGGCAGCGCACAGAACGCAUCGCAGCUGUUGAAAAAGGAAGCGCGCAAUGCAUGGCGCACGCAGGACACCUUCGUGGACUUCGACACAGACAACAGUGACUCCGAUGCCCAGUCAGGUGAGGAGACGGACCCCAUCGGUGCCUGUAUGGGCGAUGGCAGUGCUUCGUCUGGCUCGUACUACGCUUCUUUCUACGCCUCCAAAGGUGAUGACUCGGACACCACCUUGGACGGCACGCCGUCGCCGUCGUAUGGGGAGUAUGAGGAGAGUAACGAAGAGGUCGACGAAGCCGAGGAGGGAGAGGGGAUUGUCGGCAACGAGGCGUCGCGCAUCAGCGGCAACAGCUUCUCCAGCACAGACCCUGGGAGGAAUCUCAGCGUCAUGUUUGACGUUAGCCGCAAUAGCGUCUUUCCAGAGCAGCGAAGUAGCGUUAAGGGCUCCCCUGUGAGUGCGCUGCCGCCGGCCAUGAUUUCCGGCGCGCCAAGCUCGCACAGAGCGCACGUCGCCUUGCUCGUGACUGGCCUCUCUGACACGCCGCGGCGCGCCCACGGCAGCGCUGCCUCGAUGAUGCCGCCGUACACCACGACGACGGCGUUGAACCCGAAGAUGAGCGUAUCUUUGGUGUUAUCUCCCUCCGGCACGCUCAGCAACGGGACGUCCGCACCACCCGCAGAUCCGCCGGCGGACUUGAGCAAACACGAGAGCGGCAACGCUGGCACCAGGCACCCACAUUCAUCGGAGCAGAACAAUUCAAUGAUGCUCUCGCAGAUGUAUUUCUCCUUCGGCUCCGAAGCGCAUCAAGCGGAAGCGCGGUCGCCUCUCUGCAACGAUCAUGGCUGCGACAGAAGUAAUCACGAACUUCCUACAUUGGCUUGGGGUGACGAGAAGAGGCGCCGGAAGGUAAGCAUGAUGCAGAUGGAGGCGAUGCUGCCACUUCACGGGCAUGCGAACCGCGUCAGCCACAACGAGGACUCCGUUGUCGGCAGCAUCUCUGGCUUUUGGCCUAGCAAUGACGAAAAGAGUGAGGAUAACAUGUCGACACGGCCGUUGAUGAGCAAGAUGGAUAGCACCUUUCCGUCCUUCCUGAGGUACGCAGAUGCGCGUUCGCCCUGCAACAUCCCAGAAGAGACGCGAAACGCAUCUUGCGGAACGAAGCAAGCUGACAAGCAGCUGACGACGUCCGCUGACGGGCGCCACGAGGGCAGAAACGAGCACAGCAGCAAUUCCACUGGCCAUCUGCCGCGCCGCUUUUUGUUUUUCCACGCACACACCGGCCAUGGCGGCAGUUCGCCAGGCGAAGCCUUCCUCUCCGGUAAGGCGCUUUCCCCCAACGCCAUCGUUCGGGUGCUUCGGGGCGAUUUCGACAGCCGCGACAUCAGCCUUGAUAGUCGCUUCCUUGAUACCGACCCUCAUCAUAAGAGCGGUUCGACUAUCAUGGAGGUCAAAGGGCCUUCGCGUCAGCCACCAGCGUCCUCAAGGCACGCGUUGACUGCAGAUGGUGCAGCCGAUAGACACGGCGCAAGCACAGCAACGGCGGGCGACAGCGAAACCUCGUCGGGCCGCCGUGUUGAGGAGCCGGUGCGUCGCCGACCGUCUGGCGAUGCGAUCCUGAGCAUCUGUAGAGGGGCCUCUUUUGGCCAUACGCGUGAAUCUUUCUCCGUGACCCGGCCGCUCAGCUCCGGCCAAGUGCAUAGUCUAGACCCUGUGCCUUCGCAGCAGACGCUCAUCGGUGUGUGGCGACUGCUGAGCUUCCGCGAGCAGGGCGACACGCCUCUCACGAGCGUCGAGCAUGUGCCACACAAGAGAAAAUCAAAGAAAAAGCGUAGCAAGGACAAGAAGAGGAGCAAGGAGCACAAAAAGCAGCGCAGGCCACGCCCCACUGCCGAGUGCGGCCGCGUGGGCAUCGACUCAGGAAGGAGUGAGAAUGCCCGUGAUGACGCUAACAAGGAUGACGGCGCCCACGUCAACGCGGCACGAAUGUGCAAGGAGAGGGAUACAAUUCGCUUGCCGGCUCGAUUAUCCGGCGUGAGCGCCGCUGGCGACGCACCAGCUGAAUGCCAUACCGGCGUGACUUGCUAUCGUCCCAGUUCCCCUCCUGGAUCGGGCGAGGCCGCUGAGAAGCAAGGAGGUCUCCGAAGUAGUGUGGAGGCAAACUGCCACCCUCUCCGCCGGCAGCAGGCGGCGCUGCAAGACCUGUCCAUGGGCGCACCGCCCACCGCGGAUAACCUGAAGAUACGAGCGCUUUCCUCCCGGACAGCUGUCCGCACCGUCUUUGUGACACCUGACACACUCACCGCUCCGCCGUCGCGCAAUUCAUCAGCGGAAAAGGUAUCCGACGCUGCCGCGAAUGCUUGUGUGCCCCAGCCCUCCGGUGCUGGCGUCGUGCGCGCCGUGGAUAGUGCGAGCGUCGAUGCAGCACAGAAACCCGACCGCUUCGAGAAGGUCGAGGAGCCGCCAGUAGAGAGCCCAUCCGCGACAGUGCGCCGCGUGACUGUACGCUCAGGGAAUUCAAAGGUGUUAAUGAACCAUGUUCGCGGGUGCAGUACAAGCAGCGACUCCGACGGCGGUGCGCGGCGGCUUCGAGGAGCGCCAGCCGCGCAGGUGCGGCUAUCCGUAUCGCCGCCAAACGGACGCCUCCCGAUUCGUUCGUACGACGGCUUGGCCGCUCACAACGGCGAAGGAUCGCUGCGGUUCCCAACCCGUCCGCAGGAGGGACUGCCACCGCUUUAGCUCUGCCUGGAGGCAGCGACAAUGCCUCAACCCUCUCUCCCUCGCCAUUCUUCAGCACAUGUGUCUGUCUGCCGAUGUGUGUAUGUGUGUAGUGUGUCUGCAAGUACCUCUGCUGCCUCUGCUAUUUUUCUUCGCUGGCCUUUGCAUGUGAGUUUUCAGAUGGUGCUGUUGUUGCAAGGGCUCUCGAGGAGAGGAAGGUCUUGUGUCUUCUUGUCUUCUUCUCCUGCUCUUUCACUCUGGCCGCUGUCGAUGAGUUUGUAUGCGCGCAAGCGACUCCCAGUGACUUAAUCGAACUCUCGCCUGAAGCUGGUACAUAUCUUUCUCUGUGGCUUUUAUGCCUCACCACGCCCAAGCAAUCACACAGGACAGGCGGGUAAUGCUCCCCCUGUGCGGCAACAACGACCAAAAAACAACAGCAACCAAACUGUUCGGCAUUGCCAUGCUCCUGCGAUUGCGUUUGAGAGGAUGAGAAAUCACCUCGCCUCCUCGAUACACACACACACACACACACACGCACACGGGUUCUCUUACAGCUCAGCCAUUCAGCCGCCUCUGAGGCCCAUCCGGGGAGAUGUCACAUAGACACCACACCCAGAACCCGCCGUUCUAUCCGCCCUUCUUACCACACGCGCCCAAAUACGAGCUCUCUGUGCUUAUGGCGCCGUUUUCCUUUGUUCGCCCGCUAUGUGUGUAAGGGUGUGCGCGUGUUCGUGCGCGUAUCGGUUUCAUACAUCGACACCUGUGUGCGGGUUUUGUGCAGCGAAGGUGAUGGGCUUCAUCGCUCAUACACAUACACGGGAGAGAAGCAGGGUGAGCGAAGAAAAAGAGCCACAGGAGGACAUGUAACGUGCUGGUGCGUGUCUGUGUAUGGCCCAGCGUCUUGCGAAUGGGCUCUCUUCCUCCCCUCCUCCGCUCUCACUACCUCUUGUUGCCAUCAUCUCUCUCAGUUCUCUGGCUUUCGUUUUCGUUGUGGUUCGCGUUUUACAGCAUGCGCAGAUGUGCACACGUUCUCCCUCACUUCCUGCGUCUCCUUUUAGCUGUGCUUUUGUAUUUCUGUUGCUUCAGCGGUGCUGGAGCAGGGUGGAGGACGGCAGUGGAAAGGCGGAGGUGGCCCAAGUAGAUCAUGUGUGUGUGUAAGGGGGGGGGGGGCUUUGUGUCAUGUGCACAGAAGAGAGAACGACAUGCAGAGGGGCUACACCAGAAAGAAUGUCUCCUCGUCUUCCCCGGGGCCCUCCCCACGCACGUGCUGCGGCCCCACUCACCUCUCACUACAUUCCCCGUUUUCUUCCGUCUUUUUCCCUCAAUGUUUUUUUGUCAACGCUCGGCUUGCUUUUGUUCGUCGCGUUUGGAACGAAAUCCACACAGGCACGCAAAUUCCGGUCGACCAAACUCGAGGAGCACAAGCGAAGAACCUGAGAAAGCCGGCAAGACUGCAAGAGAGCGAGAAGGAGCCAUUCUCGCCUAUGGCCUCGCUCUCUCUUCUUCUCCGCGCUUUCCUCCAUCUCUUGUGAUUAUCCUACGGUUCGCUUUGUGUGCGCGCGCGUGUGUGUGUUUGAGCUCCCCUGCCCCCUCCCCUCCUCCUCUUGGUUUUACCUGUCUCGCUGCAUCACGUAACGCGAUGCAGCCGAGCGAGGGGUAGUUGAUAGGACGGCGAAGGUGGGGGGGGGGGCAGGGUAUACGUGCGGUUGUCCGUCUUUGGGUAAGUGGCGAGCUUGAAAAAAGCGCUGCAGCAAGCGAGACCAUGGCUGAAGGUGGAGGGGCAAACACCAUCCGAUUACUGUGCGUGGUGUCGUGCUUGCGCAGCUCAUCAGCCACCGCCAUUUUCCUGUCGCCUCGUGCGCCAUCCCCUGUCCACAUCCCGAUUCUCGCUUCCCACUCUUUCUGCGCUGCUCUCUCGGUGCUCUUUCACACGCGCUUGUGCAUUUCUGUGGUUAAG
Molecule: unclassified non-coding RNA, 6256 nt
Filed under: Leishmania donovani
Lineage: Eukaryota; Euglenozoa; Kinetoplastea; Trypanosomatida; Trypanosomatidae
Description: gene:LdHU3.33.4640(CDS-product:hypothetical_prote in_conserved)
Source: RNAcentral